Molecule: long non-coding RNA, 2655 nt
Filed under: Gallus gallus (chicken)
Lineage: Eukaryota; Metazoa; Chordata; Aves; Galliformes; Phasianidae
Source: RNAcentral
AAACUGCGAGGCUGAGUUCGUGCCGGGCUGACGGGGGAAGCGGCGGAGCGGUGGGAGAGAGCAGCGCGGGGUACUCAGAGCAGCGCUGCGCUCCUUUUUCUACCCCUCCGGGUUUCAUUUCUGCGUGCGGUGUCGUUGUUGGGUUGUUCUUUCGGGGGGAUAUUUUUGCUUCCUUUUUCCCCUUUUUUGCUGCUUUUUUUUCACGCGCAACUUUUCUUUUCCCUUUUCUCUUUUCUCACCAAAUCGAUGGGAGAGAGUUGGGAGAGGUUAAAAAAAAACAAACAACCAAACAACUCGGGGAUGCCCUGACUGCGUGUUGGGAGGAUAAGCUUUCCUUUGUAAGGAUAGACAGCAAGUCGGAGGGGGAGAUUGGAGCGUGAGUGAAUCCAACAGAUCCGGAGACAGACAGGCGGGGAGUGGGGCUGCCAGGAAAGUCCUCCCGGACCCCCCCAAAGUCACGAGCCUCAGCUGAGCCAACACUAAACGCUGCCCUUCACUGCACCGCGCAGCCCCUGGAAGUGGGGUUUCCCCCUCGGAGAACACAGGGAAGGCUUGGAAACAAAACCCCGACGGGAGGGAUGUUUGGGGAGGGAUUCGUGGUUUGCCAAAUUCGACGAGGAAAGUCAUCCACUCGCUCAGCCGCAGAAUUUAUCCCCCGUUCCGUUCUGAGCCCCCUGCUUUAUGGGAGCCCUUAAAGGGAAAUAUUCCUGCAGGAGCAGACUGUCUUCUUUGGCCUUUAUCGAGACCAAUUUAUCUGUCAAUCACAGCUCUCCAAUGACGGUUACUUUUAUGUUCGCAAGAAAAGAAAUACGUAUCUAUAUACGCAUAUAUCUGUGCUCGUCACUCUUUGAUCUAUUCCCAUUUUAAGAAAUAGUUACGGUGCGAAGGUGCUGAGAUGCAGGGAGUGACGUGAAAGCAGCUUGGCUUUCCCAAACCGGUGGAAUAUCUGGGAGAAUCCCUACAAAGAAGGGUUGUGUGUAUGUGCAGAAGGGGAGAGAGGGGAAGAGAAAGAGGCAGAGGGAGAAGGAGAGAGAAAGGGCUGAGCAUGGGGGGAGAGGAGCACUGAGAGUCAGUGGGGACGUUUUCCAGGGGAGAAAUAUGUCAGAAUACACCACAGACGAACCGCAAAACGAGCAGAAAUUACCCAAGCAGCGCAGCCCUAAUGAGGAGCAGCAGUUUUUGGAGCCUUCAUGCGAGCAGGCAAGGUCACGGAAUGAGUCGUGGAUGGGGCGUUUUGGUGGUGGCACACAAAGGCGAACAUAUCUGCUGAAGAUUUCUUUUAUUUACACGGGAACCUCCAUUGCACGGAGCGCUUCGCUCCCCGCGUCGCCGUGGGCUCCGCGCACACUCACACCCGCACACACACGAGGGAAACGAUCGCGAUUGCCGUACAAACCCCUUCCAUUCGGGGAGUGCACCGAGCAGUGCGAGGCGGAGAUGGAGACUCUUCACCUUACAGCAAACUACAGACGCGGGUUAACGCAGCGUCCUCUCCCCCCUCUGCGCUGCGGAAUCCCAAACCACGACGCGAACCCCCCGCAAAACACUCUCUGUCCGCGCUCCUCUCGACCCGAAGCCAUCCCUGGUGGCUGCGCGCAAAGUUACGCGAAUCAAAGUCCGCUCAGAGCAGCGGGAUCCCGAGCAUUCCUCCUGGCAGAAGCACGAGCAAAGAUCCGCACCGCAAUUACAGCACGCUUUGCCAUCGCCUUCAGCUCCUGCAAGGUUAUCUCGCAGCGUUUGUGCUCCGCAAAAGCUCCGGUUGCCCUCUUGGAGGGGAGAUGAUCUCUUCUCGAAAUGAUGGUGAACCACCGGGUCCCUUUCCAGGCAGACUCACAGCUUUGCCUCUCACCUCCUCUUUUCAAUCUGCAGGGGGAAGGAACUUGGUGGCACGGAGCAAAACUAACGCUAGCAGCCCACGAGCCGUAGGAAUCCUAUCUUAUACUUCAUUUUAUUUUAUUCCCCGGUGAAGGAAAAAAAAAAAUAGAUUAAGAAGUAGUCUCUCGUGGCAAAUGAGGAGGUUACAGAAGACGAAGCCUUUGUCUGAGCCAUUGACUUCUGACACCUUUUCGGGGCUGAAUGCUCCUUCCCAUGUCCGCCCGCUCCCGGACAGUGCUGUGUGCUCAGCGCAGUGCAUCCCUCUCCUCUCCCUUCCAAACCUUUUGCUUUCGCUUUGAGCGAUUCUCCCCUGAUUGGAAGGAGCGGAGACAGAAAAAUAAUCCUAAUAAAAUAAAAGCCAGAAGAGGGGAGGGAGAAUAAAACCCUAUUGGAGAGCUUACAGCAAUGAGGUGACACUGAUUUCUUGGAUUUUCUUGCUUUUAAAUUAUUUUUCUUUGGGGGGGGGGAGGGGGGGGGAAGGGAGGGGGGGGAAGUGGUGGUAGGGAAAAGAGAGCCCGCAGCCCUCAGCAACCGGGGGUCGGCGGGGGGAGUGCUGGAGCUGCAGGCCCGGCUCCCCCGCAGCUGCAUCCCGCAGGGGCCGAGCGCUGCGCGCCCGCUCAGGGCAACGCGGAGCCGAACGCCGGGGGCUGCGCUGGGGCUGCGCUGGGGGCCGAGCGGGCACCGACAAGGCGGACGGACACACGGGCGGGCGGACGGACGGACGGACAAAUGGAGCCUCCGAGCAGACACACACACAACACAGAUACAGACACGGGGAGG